This is a non-coding RNA of Phascolarctos cinereus (koala), 2087 nucleotides long. Lineage: Eukaryota; Metazoa; Chordata; Mammalia; Diprotodontia; Phascolarctidae. The record is from RefSeq and is a predicted model, not a curated record.
AAAUGAAUAUUAAUGAGGGGGUCAAGGAAGACAACAAGGUUGUAAACAUAAGUGAAUGAGAAGAUGGUAGCUUCCUCAAAAGCAACAGGGAAGCCUGGAAGAAGGGAUGUGUUGGGGGAAGGUGGGGGAGGAGAGGAAGACAAUUGUUUUGGAUGGGCUGAGCUUGAUAUACCUACGGGACAUCCAGUUCAUGGUGUCCAAUGGGUAGGUUAGGAGCUCAGGAGUCUAAGGCAGGAUAUGUAGAUCAAGUGCAUAGAGAGAACUGAAUCCAAGGGAGCUGAUGAGGUCACAAAGAAAAAGAGCACAACAUAGAAAGAAGGCCCAAAACACUGCCUCAGGGCACUCUCAAUGUAGGUGCAAAGAAAUGAACAAAGAUCAUCGCAGAGACUGGGGAGGAGGGCUCAUAUAAGCAGAAGCCUUGAGAUACUCCAAGCAGACUUACCUCUGUGUUGUACACCCCAUAUAUCAGGAAGAUGAAGAGACCCUGUAAAAUAAAAUGGAGGGGAAAAGCUGUUAACUCUAAUCAUUUCAGCAGUAGAAAUACCUGAAAUAAACUUUCCUGGGAACAGACAAAAGAAGACACACUUCAUCAAGAUAAUUCUGGGUUUUUCUCAGUUAUCUAAGUGUGAUGGUACACAGCUGCAAUUCAACAGAUAAUUUCAAACUCUAUUCAGUUGUAGAACUAUAUGAAGGAUAAAUAACUCAAAUCUGAAUCCCAUUUAAGAGUUUGUAAUUUUACCUUUGUAUAGAUAAAAGAGAGAACCCUGUUAGGAACAGCUGGAAGGAACCAACUGCCAAACCUCAACUGGCACAGAAAUUUCUGGAACUCCUUACUCCAACAUUCUGUCCUGUUGAAGACUAAUCAUCAAAAAUAUCCCACUUAUUUCUGAAAUAUCUGCAAAGAUGAAAGAUUCUUCAGCUGUUACACAGGCCAUAUAAAUCUGCACUUCCAUCUUCAGAGUGAAGAAUCAGAAGGAAUAUUCCUGGAUAACAUCAGCCAACGUGGGUAAUGGGACAAAAUAAGAAAUCACAUUCAGGGUACCUGGAUGAAACCAUGGAAGACUCAUAUGGUCCUGAUCCAGCAAGCACUCACAACACCAAAAGACCCCUAGCACUUCCUAGGGUUUCAUGUGGCAUUUUAAUUAUUCUAUACCCCUGCUUCUUCAGCUUGACCACACCUCUCACCAAUAUCUUGCAGAAAAAUCAUGCUUUUCAUUAGCUGAAUAGGGUUCUUCCCAUGGAGCUGAGCAUGUGCCCUGGCCCCUUCCAGUGGUCAGGUCUCUUGCUAAAAGGGCAUGCUCUGCCAGAGGCUCCCAGUCAGUCCCUUGGACCUGUGAGAGGCAUCACUGAGGAGCUGUGCCGGAGAGGAUUGGCCACUGAGCCAGGAGAAGCCACCCAUCUCAUGAGACUUUAAGAAGAAUGACUACCCACUCUCACUCCCUCUUCAUUUCCCCAGUGAGCAUGUCACUUGGGACUCAGGUAGUCUUUCCCUUAGAUUUCUUGUGUGGGGAUCCCUCAUUUACCCUAGCAGCAAUGAUAACUAUGAGCCCACAGCAAUGAUAAUAUGUGCCACUUGUUGGAGUAAAACUGGGUCUAGACUUCCAGUCCUUGACCUACUCUUCUGCUGUAUGUUUUUUUGCCUGAGCCCAUGUGACCACACACUGAUACUGAGACAGGUAUUUUUAGUGUUGGCAGCAACCUUAUGGGUUCAAGAGGUUGGACACUUUUGGGUCCAGGUUGUGGUUGCUCAGGAGGAGCGGUGAUCUCUGUAACAACUCAGAGGAGAACAUAGCUCCUGCUGGGAGGAUACUACAGAUGAAAGAAUUAAGAAAGUCUAAGACAGGGCAUGGCUUGCCAGGAGAUUGAGACUUGUGAGCUAAGCAGACAGGACAAGUCAGAAGUAAAAGCGAAAUAUCUGUUCAGCAGACCCGCAAGUCUCCCACGAGUUUUUUGUCUCUUAGAAUGGUAUAAGAUGGAUGGAGAACUUUGUCAUUUUAAAAGUACUUAUCAACGUUUGCUUGUGAGGUUUUUGUGUUUUAGGCAUUUCUUUUGUUGUAAAUGAAAUAAAUUGUUGUCCUAUACCUUGA